This 206-nucleotide long non-coding RNA is filed under the name Elaeis guineensis (African oil palm). RNAcentral describes it as "long non-coding RNA (EGUI_LNC048654)". Lineage: Eukaryota; Viridiplantae; Streptophyta; Magnoliopsida; Arecales; Arecaceae. The record is from RNAcentral.
UUAUCUGAGCAAUGUAGUGAAUUAGCUUUUGAUUCAGUUGCUUAUUGAUGCAUGCUAAACCCAUGCUGCAUAGAUUGAUCAAUGUGACUGAUUUAGGUGCCAUGAUCGGCUUGAAUGUAGUCAUCUUUAGUCUGACUUAGUGAAGUCAGUGGGAGGAUUAUGAUUAGCUAUUCAAGUUCAAUCUCUUCUCUUAAAUAUGUUAAUCA